This 2244-nucleotide long non-coding RNA is filed under the name Manihot esculenta (cassava). RNAcentral's name for it is "long non-coding RNA (MESC_LNC001002)". The record is from RNAcentral. Lineage: Eukaryota; Viridiplantae; Streptophyta; Magnoliopsida; Malpighiales; Euphorbiaceae.
GGAGGAUAAAUUGAUUUGGCACCUUAAUAAAUUUGGAUCUUACUCGGUAAAGACUGCCUAUAAGCUAGCAUGCCAACUCAAACUAGCAGAUCACUCAUCCCAAAAUGGGGAUCCGGGUCCUUUGUCGCAACAGCAGCUAGCUAAGUUAUGGAAUUCCUUUUGGAAGUUGAAUUUCUCGAGUUAGAUAAAAAAUUUUCUUUAGAAGCUUUGCAUUGAGAAACUCCCAAGCAAGAGUAAUCUCCAAAGAUGUCUAUGUUGGACUCCCACAGAGUGUGGUUUUUGCGGUACAAUAGAAACAUUGCAUCAUUUAUUUUUUGCUUGUCCACAUGCAGUUGCUGUAUGGCUAAAUUCACCACUCAGGCUUCGCUCCUCCUUUCUAUCGAGCCACAAUAUGAUAGACUGUUGGCCGUCCUUACGCUCAUCCUUACUACCUCAUCCCAAUGAAAACAACCUUGUCCAAUUAGCUAGCUUCUUAUCGUGGCAUAUAUGGAAGAAUCGUAAUGCCCAAAUCUUUAAUAAUGAUGCGGAGUUACACACUGAGAUGGGGCCGAGUCUCUGAAAAAAAAUACAGACUCAAAAUUCAUCAGGCCACAUUCAAGUAGACCGAUUCAACAUCGCACAAUUCAGUUCGAAGACGUGAAGUAGGUCGGGCUGAUUACGUGUACAGGUCCACUAAGAAAUAACCUAAUCCGGUGACGUGACAAAAAAUAAAAGAGAGUAAGUCCAAUCACUUCGCAGUCCUGUCAAUAGAUGUGUCGUGUCGGAAGGAAUUAAAAUUUUUUUUUAUAGAAAAUAAUUUUUAAAAAAAAAAUUAAUUUCUGAAUUUCAAGAAUUUUUAACAAUACCAUUAUAUUUAAAUUUAUUGAUAUCUUUUAUUUUUUUAACAUCACGAUUAAAUGGUGAAUAAUAAGUUAUAUUUUUGUAAAUAUUUUCUAAAUACAAAAUAUUUUUCAAAUAAAUAAAACCUAUAUAAAAUGAAAUCCCAAAAUCUCCACCAAUUCAAACCGGAGCAAGACAAGGUGCAUUAGUAAGAUUCCUAGUCUAUUGACUGUCAUUGAACCUUUUCUUACAUUCUUUGAUUGACUGUAAAAUUUCCAGUAUUUUUGGAGAGAUGUGAAUUUCAUAGACCAGAAUCCUUUAUAUUUUACCAAUGGACUUGAAUUAAUAAUAUUGAAAUUUGACCUCCUUCUUUCUUAGAAAAAAAAAAACCCUUAAUUAGUUAAUUAAUUUUAAUUUUAUCAAAAAAUUAAAUAUUUAAAUAAUACAUAUAAUUAAAAUUAUAAAUUAGAAAUUUUAUUAGUUUAAUUUUUAUUAAAUAUUUUAUUAUCUAAAAUUUUAUUAAAUUUAUGGUCAUAUAAUUAUAUUAUAAAUUAAGAAUACAAUACCAAUAAUUUAAAUAAUAUAGUGAUUAUAAAUACUGAAACAAUAACAAUAUAAAAAAAUUAUUAAAUUAUAUAAAAUUAAAUGUAAUAUUAAGUAAUUUUAUAUUAAUUACUAAAAUUAUUCUCACAAAUUUUUAAUAAUAUAAAUACUUGAUAAGUUAUUAUGUAUAAAAGUUAACAAUAAAUAUAUAAAUUAAUUAAAUUAUAAAUUAAAUGACAAAUAUAAAUAACGUGUAAAAAAAUAAUAAAAUAUAAAAACAUUGAAAUUGAAUAACUUUAAAAUAAAAAUAAAUUAAUAAAUUUAUUAAAAAUUUAGACACUUAAUAGCAAUUGACGGGAUAACUAAUCUCAAGCUAGCCUGUGUUCAAUGUGAACAUGAAUCAGAACCAAGGCAGACAAAAGUCCGCCUACCUUGUCCAUACCCAGUUUCCACAUUUUCUUUCUCCCCUCAGAAUAUCUGUUAAAACAGCUCUGCCUACAGAAACGAAACAGCCAAAAAGCCAAUGCCAUUCACCACAAAAACGCCAUUUCCAUUUGCUUCCACAAAAUUGAAGCAAUGGGAAUGCGAUUCUCAGCAAUUAAAAUAAGCUUCACAAAGACAUUCAAAGUUGCAAUUACUUACUGGCUAAAGAGAAGCCAAUCCAAUCUUCUUGAUGAAGCAGCCCCACCCAGUUCUUCACUGGAGACAACUGCAAGAAAAUCACACGCUUGAGAAGUUAUAAAGUCCUUAACAAAAUGGAAAUGGCAGCUGCCCAAAACGCAGAAACCAGAAAGAAAAACGAAAAAGGACAACAUAUUAUCAGUUUUCAGCCGCCAUCCAGUCAAACCCACAAGUUUUGACCAGAAAAGUUUUGGUUUUUUU